RNAcentral lists this ribosomal RNA (253 nucleotides) under uncultured bacterium. RNAcentral describes it as "partial 16S ribosomal RNA". It matches the Rfam family "Bacterial small subunit ribosomal RNA", at positions 337 to 607 of the family's 1533-position model. The record is from RNAcentral.
GCCUACGGGACGCAGCAGUGGGGAAUAUUGCCCAAUGGGGGAAACCCUGAUGCAGCGACGCCGCGUGAGUGAAGAAGUAAUUCGUUAUGUAAAGCUCUAUCAGCAGGGAAGAAAAUGACGGUACCUGAGUAAGAAGCCCCGGCUAACUACGUGCCAGCAGCCGCGGCAAUACGAAGGGGGCAGGCGUUAUCCGGAUUUACUGGGUGUAAAGGGAGCGUAGACGGUAGUGCAAGUAUGCAGUGGUAGACGGGGG